RNAcentral lists this ribosomal RNA (393 nucleotides) under uncultured bacterium. RNAcentral's name for it is "bacterial SSU rRNA". It matches the Rfam family "Bacterial small subunit ribosomal RNA", at positions 364 to 774 of the family's 1533-position model. The record is from RNAcentral.
UUGCACAAUGGGGGCAACCCUGAUGCAGCGACGCCGCGUGAGCGAUGAAGCCCUUCGGGGCGUAAAGCUCUUUCGACCGGAACGAUAAUGACGGUACCGGGAGAAGAAGCUGCGGCUAACUACGUGCCAGCAGCCGCGGUAAUACGUAGGCAGCAAGCGUUGUUCGGAGUUACUGGGCGUAAAGAGUGCGUAGGCGGUUUUCUAAGUUCGGUGUGAAAUCUCCCGGCUUAACUGGGAGGGUGCGCCGAAGACUGGGAAGCUGGAGUGUGGGAAAGGCAGGCGGAAUUCCUGGUGUAGCGGUGAAAUGCGUAGAUAUCAGGAGGAACACCGGCGGUGUAGACGGCUUGCUAAACCAUAACUGACGCUGAGGCACGAAAGCGUGGGUAGCAAACA